This 1694-nucleotide long non-coding RNA is filed under the name Olea europaea subsp. europaea. Lineage: Eukaryota; Viridiplantae; Streptophyta; Magnoliopsida; Lamiales; Oleaceae. The record is from RNAcentral.
AUUAAUUAUAGAAUAAUUUUUCAAAUGAUUCUACGUCUUGCGUAUAGUAGUUACGAUUCGAUUCGUGUGAUUUUCUGUUAUUAUGUUUUAUUCUAUUAUCUCUUGUACAAUUUUAUAAUAUUUCGAAUUUUUGCAGGAUGUAUUAUCAUCUAAACACAGAAUUGAGACGGAUGCCGCGCAAGCUACUGUGGAACAGUAGUCUUGACAGUUUCACCACUAUACUGGAGUUGCUCGAUGAUCAGCAUGAAAAUAUGCUGCGACAGUCCUUUCUAUGGCCCCUGUACCAGUUAAGAGAUGUGUAGUACUCAGGUCAGAUCAUCGAUGCACUUCUAUGUCAGUUGCUAGUCCAAUCGACGGAGUUGCUCUCCACUUUAACCUCAGGGGCAAAGUCAUAGCUAGUGAUGGGUCUCAGAAAAGAAAUAGGCUGUAGUACGCUUACUUUCACGGACAGAGGACGGUGAUUUUGCCUCAGCUGAUCAACGCAAUCAAGAGGUGUGACCAUAUGUUAGACAGACUGAAGUUAGGUCUAGUCUAUAUCAUUGAGAGCGUGGUAUAGUGUCACCACAAGAAGAUUGUGAUCGACCUCUUCCACCUGAAGAUCGUCGAUGACAUUGAUCGCUUCAACAACUAUUUGUGGGGUUGGAGAUGUUUCGAGGAUACCGCACACGUCUUCACCCUAUCACAUUCGAAGAGGAGGAGGAGGAGGUUCGUCAAUGGGAUGUACCCCAAUCUGUUCCGGGAGGUCGAUCAUGCGAAAUGGAAAGCAAUUGAAAUUGAGUGGCAAAAAAUAAAGCCCGGGUAAGAAUAGUAUGAUUUUAGUAUACUACGAUACCUCGUAUAUGCUUCGUUUAACAUUUUCUUUAUUUUUCAGAGCCAAUAGCAAGAUAGCCCGAAGGACGAUAUAUAACGCGUACAAGUGGUUCCACGAUAUUACCACUCAGGGGAUCUAGCUCGCAGACGAUGUAAAUAAAGUAGUGAUAUCAUUAAUUUUUUUAUACAUUAUGUUUGGUUUGGUUUGGUUUAUUAAAUGAAUUAACUCCUUUUUUUGUUUUCCUUGAUGUAUAUUCACGAUCGUUCCAUAUUCUUGGCCAAAUAAUAUUGAACACCGAGUUCUUCCGUGUCGUUAUCUUGAGUAUUAGUUGCUCCGGAUUAUGGAUAACGAGUAUACAGUGCCUGAGUAUAUGCUCGAGUGGGUCAUCAGCUAGUUGCCGAGUGUCAAGUAAAAGUCAUGGGAGAGUUGUACGCGUAUGUACAUUCUAGUUAUCAUGAAUCAUCACUGCAUUUGCUCUGGAGAUUGUAUUUAUUGACUCUACGAUAUAUGUGUACGACCCAGAUCAUUUAUUUCUGACACAGCGACAACUCGAGCUAAAUUUAGAACCGGUGGCUGUGAUCGUUCCUCUGAUGGCUACACAAACGGGAUUGACUGUAUAGGACAGACUAGCCAUUGUGUGGAACACAACGACGGCGAGACAAUCCAUAUGGUAAGUGUUUGUAAAUUUAAAAUUAGUUUUUACGUAAUUGGAAUCGAUCUAACACAUUAUUGUUCAUUGGUAGUAUGGACUGUGGUAUUUUCGCAAUCAAAUACAUUGAAUUUUUUAGUAUAGCACAUAAGGUUGAUGGAAUCAACCAAUCAUUGAUACAGAAUUGACGAAAUAAGUUAGCGUGUGACUUAUACGAAUUUAAUGGUGAUCCAC